Molecule: non-coding RNA, 3038 nt
Organism: Chlorocebus sabaeus (green monkey)
Lineage: Eukaryota; Metazoa; Chordata; Mammalia; Primates; Cercopithecidae
Source: RefSeq, a predicted model, not a curated record
CCUCCUGCAUCUGCGCCUGCGCCUUGGGCUCUCCUGCGCGCAGAGCAGGACCCUGAGGAGACAGCGGGCAGCUGGCUAGGGGCUGGGCGGCGGUUGAGACAGCGGCUGUAUUGGGGGGUAGGUGACGGUCGCGAGGCUGCCUGAGCUUCUGAGUGAGCUCGGAGCUUUGGGGAACGCGUGAGGGGCGACCUGCGGCGCCAGGAGCUGGCAGAGGCGCGGCGGCGCGGCUGCAGUCUGGAUGGGAAGUUACGGUUUACAGCGAAGUCCACCCAGCGUUUCCGAGGUGCGGGCGCCGCGCCUGGCCGGGCAGGCGGCAAUCUGAAGACAAAUGCUGUUUAGAUGCAGGCGAAGGUUCCUGAUGACCCAGGCUCUCACCAGCAGAUUGUCCCUUACUGUCCUCCUGAGGGCGUCUGGAGCUUCAGUGCUGUGUGCUCUUGGCCUCCACACUGGGGAUUCCACUGACUCCCACUGUCCAGGGCUUCCAGUGGACUCUCCGAGGCACUGAUGUAGAAAUGUCCCCAUUCGGUGCACCAAGAGCAGCCUCACACGGUGUGGGCCGACAGGAAGAGCUGCCAGAUCCAACAGAAAUGUGAUUGAUAACAGUAGAGCCACACUCCUCAUGUGCCUGAAAUACCCCUCAUUGUCUUCUUCAGGUGGCAAGGGCUCUGGAACAGCCACAUAAAGAGGGAUUAGCAUCCAUGUAUUUGAAAUUGAAAUUCAAGAGGAGAGACAGGCACCUGUACUAGUUUUCUCUUGCUGCCUCUUAUCACGUUCCCACAAACCAGUGGUUUGAAACCACAGAAGUCUGGAAUGAAGUGGCUGGGUUCUCUGAUCAGAGUCAGCCCUUGAAGAUAAGGAUGGUCAAACAAAAUACUAUCAUACCUGGAGAAACUCAGAUCUUGGUAAGAUUUACUAGUUGGGAAUCCAUGUUGAUCCCAAGAAGCAGCCACCAGUUGGGAUCAAAUGUGAGCCUAUGAAUCAAGAAAAUGAGCAAACAUGUGGCCAUGAAACAGCUCAUCGUAGAAUUGGUUCAGUGGUUGUGAGUGCAGUAACCCAAGAGUGUCUAUUCUGAAAUACCAUCCGGAAUGCCUGGACACAGUAAACAAAGGUGGUUCAACCAGACGUCUUAGGACACAUGCUUCCAAAAACAAAGUAGCUGAAAAGAAACCAGAAUAACAGACCAUCAGAGCCAGAGGAACAUUCGGAGGUAAUUCAGUACCUCCUCCUUUUCAACCUACAGGGGAGAUGGUGGAACAGAAGCAGGGAUGGGCCUGUCUGCUGUGCCCACAAUUCAUUGGAGAUUGUUGUGGUGAAGAAUUUCAUUUAUGAUGAAGGAGAAAUAAACCCCCAUCAGCUUAAAUUCAGGCAGGUUUAUUGAAAAGAUGAAGAAGCAUCUUGCAGAAGCAAAGCAUGGCUGAGGCUUGUGGGCUCUGUCUGGGAAAAUGAGCAGCCGACAGUGGCUGGUGCUGCCUCUGACUCUGGGGCCUUGUGGUCUGUUGUUCCCUGAGAGCAUCUCUUCUAUUCUCUUGCGUCUUCCCUCAGCCUGGCAGUCUCUGUAUACUCUUCAACACAUAAUUGAGCAAGGCUGUGCCAGCCCCAAUGCUGCCUAGCACUUUAGGUCAAAUUAGAAAGGCAUGAAAUAAACUGGCCUGUUAUAAUACAGCUGUUGGAACAACAGUUGAAAGUAACAGUAUCUUGACUCCUGGUUGAGUGCUUUAUGCUGAACUUUCUUUUCUGAAUACUAGCACAGACUUUGGGAUAUUAGUGUCACCUAGCGUUGUUAGCUAGUAUUCUCCUUUUGUUUCCCCAUAACAUGCCUUCGUCCUUCCCACAGAUCCACUCUCCACUCAUUUCCAUCCUGUCUUAUGCUCUAGAAGGGACUCGGGGCUUGUCCCUUCUAGAAUGCAUCCCUGGCUCCCCUGUGUGCACACUUCUAGUUAGGUUUAGCAAUGGGGGGCUAGAAGUGAGAGGAAGGUGAGGUCUGUAUUUCUUCCCUCUCCCUCCCUGCUCUGGCACUGAGUAUCUGGCAAUAGCUGCAUCUGUCUAUUACUUCAGUGGCCACUCUUCCACAGCCCCAAUUCUCAGUGGGUCCCAUAGCAUUAUUUAUCUUUGUUCCUUUAGCUCCCACCAAAGAAGAUCCAGAGACAUUCUCCUCACCAAGGCAUUAAGAAAUGCAUGGGUGAGGGAAACAGGAGUGUGCAUGUAAAGGUCCUGUGGCGCCUCUCCUCUGCAGGCUGGAGGUCAUGGCGGAAGAUGCUGCAUGGAUUUGCCCUCCCUGCUGUCAGAACAACAGGGUUCUGGAAUAGUAGAGGACAGGCCAUGGGACUCAGCCCUCUAGAGACAAGGCAGGAGGGAUUUCCUUGAGAGGCAGGGACAUGUGGUGGUAACUAAUCAUUGUGAGGUGUCUGGGAGUGUAAUGGAUGGGAAAUCUACUAAGAAAUCAACUUAUGUAAUAAUUAGAAAAGCUCUAGUUCUGAGGACAGAGACCUGUUGGAGUCACCAUGGUGGGAAUUUAUGACCUGGCAUCCAGUUCAGAUACCUGGAGCUUCUUGACUGGGGGGAGAUUGGAUCCCUUGGGGAAGAGUGAAGCCUUCAAUGCUGCCACAAGUGUAUGCUGUAAAUCUUCCUCCAGGCCUUCCCCAGAAGAACCUGAAGCCACUUAUGUGGGUGACUGAGGAAAGGGAAAUACCCAGAGCUUCAGUCGCUUGUUGGAUUCUGGCUCCGAAGAAUGCUAACCUAAGGGCACCUGUGGGGCCAUGAAAAUGCACUACUUGCAUCUCCAGCUGCAGGAGGCCUAACGAAUCAACAGCCCAGGCUGCUACACUCUGAAUUGAGGACUUGAUGACAUUUCCCCCGGAUCUGUACUAGCCCAUGAGGAGGAAACCCUCAUAUCAAGUCCUCCCAACAGAACACCCAUGAUGAGUCAUGAGGAUGUCGAAGCUGUUUUCCUGUGGUGACUGUGACUUACUUUCUUCAAAGUCUGUUUUGUUUGUGCACAUUCACUGAUUUAUAUAAGAGAAUAAAUGCCUAGACCCCCA